GCAGCCAAAGAGUGCAAACUGGCGACUUCAAGAAGUUGGAAGCAAUUUUCCCAGGUUAUCAGUGUUGGGAGAAGGACAUCACAAACGUCCAUCAGAGGAGCAACCUGGUACUGAAAGAGGUCCACAACUACUCCACAUUUCGCCAAAUGGCGAAAACGGCGAAAGAAAAAAAAGCAUAAUGUUGUGCUUUUUUUAUUUUUAACCCUCGAUUGAACCGACCAACCCACCCCUCUCCUGGCACCAGAGAAAUCGACAUUGUUUUGACGCACGAGGACGUCAUGAUUGUGUAGACGAGGUCAAAGGUCGAAAGGUCAAAAAUGUCCAAAUACCGUCUGAUGCCAUUUUUCUAUGUUCGUGUAACACGGUUUAUUAUUUUUAAUAAUUUAUAUAUUUACUCACCUUGCUAGCAGCAUAGACU
Folsomia candida is the source of this 418-nucleotide long non-coding RNA. RefSeq lists it as uncharacterized. The record is from RefSeq and is a predicted model, not a curated record. The transcript is spliced from 3 exons. NCBI's taxonomy places the organism in Eukaryota, Metazoa, Arthropoda, Collembola, Entomobryomorpha, Isotomidae.